Lepisosteus oculatus (spotted gar) is the source of this 91-nucleotide microRNA precursor. Ensembl annotates it as microRNA 146b-1. Its record names the gene dre-mir-146b-1. Lineage: Eukaryota; Metazoa; Chordata; Actinopteri; Semionotiformes; Lepisosteidae. The record is from Ensembl.
GCUGCGGAAUUCUCGGCUUUGAGAACUGAAUUCCAAGGGUUGAGGUUUACCGACCAGCCCAUGGACCUCAGUUCUGGAGCUUGGGGUUUCU